RNAcentral lists this ribosomal RNA (402 nucleotides) under Verrucomicrobiota bacterium. Its description in RNAcentral is "Verrucomicrobia bacterium partial 16S ribosomal RNA". It matches the Rfam family "Bacterial small subunit ribosomal RNA", at positions 355 to 776 of the family's 1533-position model. The record is from RNAcentral. Lineage: Bacteria; Pseudomonadati; Verrucomicrobiota.
UGGGGAAUUUUGCACAAUGGGGGAAACCCUGAUGCAGCGACGCCGCGUGAUUUAGAAGGCCUUCGUGUUGUAAAAAUCUUUUUUAUGGGAUGAAAAUGACAGUACCAUAAGAAUAAGGUCCGGCUAAAUACGUGCCAGCAGCCGCGGUAAUACGUAUGGACCGAGCGUUGUCCGGAAUCAUUGGGCGUAAAGGGUACGUAGGCGGCCCAGUAAGUUAGAAGUGAAAUAAUAUAGCUCAACUAUAUAAAGCUUUUAAAACUGCUAGGCUUGAGAGAUGGAAGGGAAAGUGGAAUUCCUAGUGUAGCGAUGAAAUGCGCAGAUAUUAGGAAGAAUACCGGUGGCGAAGGCGACUUUCUGGUCAUCAACUGACGCUGAGGUACGAAAGCGGGGGUAGCAAACAGG